Molecule: ribosomal RNA, 556 nt
Filed under: uncultured archaeon
Lineage: Archaea
Description: bacterial SSU rRNA
Rfam family: Archaeal small subunit ribosomal RNA
Source: RNAcentral
GAGGACAAUACUGGAUAGGCAAUUUUUCCUGUAAUGGUUUUUUGUUUAAAUGUUUUUUCGCCUAAGGAUGGGUCUGCGGCCGAUUAGGUAGUUGGUUAGGUAAUGGCUUACCAAGCCGUUGAUCGGUACGGGUUGUGAGAGCAAGAGCCCGGAGAUGGAACCUGAGACAAGGUUCCAGGCCCUACGGGGUGCAGCAGGCGCGAAACCUCCGCAAUGUGAGAAAUCGCGACGGGGGGGUCCCAAGUGCCAUUCUUAACGGGAUGGCUUUUCAUUAGUGUAAAAAGCUUUUGGAAUAAGAGCUGGGCAAGACCGGUGCCAGCCGCCGCGGUAACACCGGCAGCUCUAGUGGUAGCAAUUUUUAUUGGGCCUAAAGCGUCCGUAGCCGGUUUAAUAAGUCUCUGGUGAAAUCCUGUAGCUUAACUGUGGGAAUUGCUGGAGAUACUAUUAGACUUGAGACCGGGAGAGGUUAGAGGUACUCCCAGGGUAGAGGUGAAAUUCUGUAAUCCUGGGAGGACCGCCUGUUGCGAAGGCGUCUAACUGGAACGGUUCUGACGGU